UACAUAGGCUCCAAGCGUUGUUCGGAACUACUGGGCGUAAAGCGAGUGUAGGCUGCCUGCCAAGUCGAUUGUGAAAUCUCCCGGCUCAACUGGGAGGGUGCGGUCGAAACUGGCAGGCUAGAGUUCGGGAGAGGAGAGUGGAAUUCCUGGUGUAGCGGUGAAAUGCGUAGAUAUCAGGAGGAACACCGGUGGUGAAGACGGCUCUCUGGACCGCCACUGACGCUGAGACUCGAAAGCGUGGGGAGCAAACAGG
Molecule: unclassified non-coding RNA, 253 nt
Filed under: uncultured Bryobacterales bacterium
Lineage: Bacteria; Pseudomonadati; Acidobacteriota; Terriglobia; Bryobacterales
Description: contains 16S-23S intergenic spacer region
Rfam family: Bacterial small subunit ribosomal RNA
Source: RNAcentral